CUCCGACAGCACUAGGCAAUGGGAAUUUUUCAGCUCCAUUAUAAUCUUACGGGACCCGCUGUUAUAUAAUUUGGUCCACACGUCACUGACUGAAAUGUCCUCAUGCAGCGCACGACUAUAAGUCACUUAACUGAUACAAAAACGUACUUGUCUAGUCAACAACCCUGUUCUCUGUCUAUGUACUAGUCAAUGCAACCUGAAGCUGUUUGCACACGAUGAAUCAAGAACGGUAUGACUACGAACGAGGUGGGUAGAGGAAGCGCCUGAUGAGUCUGUUGAAACUUAGACCCAAGCAAUGGAGUGUUGCAAUUGACCGUGGGGGAACAGCUGCCACAAACAGCUCCUUCUGGCUUCCAGUAAUUAGGAAAGAGGAAUCUUGGAGUGCAGUUUGAACAGAACCAGUGGGCCAUCUGGCGGGCCAAAAGGCAAGGCGGAGAACUGUGAAUAGUGCUGGAAGCCGUGCGUGUAUUACACGUGCGUCAACGUAUACUGGUAUGUGAUGUGUCAGGAAUGUUUCAAGUCUUGAAUGGUUUUUAUUUAAAGGAGUGACAGUACAGAACAGUGACACGGGGACUGUUGGCUUAAAUAAUAUUAGGAAGUUUUGAUCUUUUAAUUAUAUAUUUUAAAAUUGAGAAGAAGCUGAAUAAUUUAAUGCAGUUUAACUAAAUAGUUUAGUUUAAUGCUAAACUAUUAGUAGUUUAGUUUAAUGCUACUUAGAGGCAAUAGUUAGUAAAAAUACAUACAACUUUUUUUUCAUAUCCCAAUAGCCUAGCAUAUGUGACAUAAACAGAUUCAUAUACAUACACACUAUUGGGACUAUGCAGAAUAAUGAAAAUAACUCACAGCUCCAACUCACUUCUAAUUAUAACCUUAUAGAGAAGAGUAGUCCACAGAUUCAGAUGGAAUUCGAAAUUCUUCUCAGGUUGAUAUUUUUUAGUCUCCAAGCUUGGAAAUACUGUUAAUAAUUUAUGAGUAAAUUCUUUAGGUUUUCUUUCUUUAUCAGUAAAAUGGGGGACCAAAGCGGUUGGUCUUUUCAAUUCAUAAAACGGUGUGUUUAUCAGAGGAGUUUACAUUUAAAAAAACAGUUUGAAAAGUGAGAGACCUCAUACAUAUGUAACAAGUAGAACUAGCUUUCAUACAUUUAUUUAUUCAAUAUAUUGCACUCAUCCCACUGCUCAUAUAUGUAUAAUUAUGUGCUAUAGACUAUGCUAAUUUCUGAGGCCACACUGAUGAACAAAGACAGAUGUUUCUGUCUGUGUGGUCUCUUUGGAAGGGAUAAAGGCAAUUGGAAAAUUCUUGUGAGUUUCUACAUUAUCACUUAAUAGGUGUGUGAUUUCAGGUGGGUGUAGAAUUGAAGGUAAUAGUACCUUUCAGGACUAUGUCAUAGGAUGGCUAUGAGAAUCAAAUGUGAUAGUUAUUGUAAAAUGUAUACAGUGCUCUACAAACAUGACCCUACUAUGAAAUACCAAGUGGCGAGAGAAAAGAAAUUGGAUGAAGUUUGAAUCAUGGAAACGUCCCCAAACUAAGGAUGGGGAUAAAGGAAAAAAAAAAGGGUAGAAAAUUUAUAAAGAGGGAGGUAGAAAAGUGAGAGCAAGUAAU
Long non-coding RNA from Rhinolophus ferrumequinum (greater horseshoe bat), 1599 nucleotides. RefSeq lists it as uncharacterized. The record is from RefSeq and is a predicted model, not a curated record. Lineage: Eukaryota; Metazoa; Chordata; Mammalia; Chiroptera; Rhinolophidae. The transcript has 3 exons.